GUGUCUGCCUGGCCCAGCCUUCUCUACAGUUGACUACCCUGGCCCUAUCCCUGCUGCAUUAUUCAGGGCAUUCAGGCAGAAAAAGGCCAGAGAAGAAAGAAACUAGGUCAAGCAUCCUUAUUCCGAGUGUCUCACCUGAAUUGCCUGCCCAGCCUCUGUGGAGGCAGAGCAAUUAAAGCAUUUACUCCAUAUGGGUAAAUGGGCUAAAAAGUCACUGCCAUUAGUAGGGAGGGUCAGGAUUACAUUAGGGAGACUGUCUUUAGGGGACAUCCUCUCUUCCUUCAGGUUGGAAGAAAAAGUUGUGGACUCCUUUGUGAAAAUCAAGGGAGAAAUCAUCUUCUCUGGUCAACAUCUCUUGGAAUCUGUGCUUGGUCAGUGGAGUUGAAUGUGAACAUAGGAGCCAUUCUGUCACCAGAAGGACCAUCCAGGACCCUACCCUGCAUUUACUUCAGGAAUCAAGAAUCACUGUAUAUUCUGAAAGGUUCUGUGGCUUCCUUAAUGCCAAUGGUAAUAAAACUAGAAAUGCUGCCCCCAGAAUAU
RNAcentral lists this long non-coding RNA (540 nucleotides) under Homo sapiens (human). RNAcentral's name for it is "non-protein coding lnc-HLA-DQA1-8:1". Lineage: Eukaryota; Metazoa; Chordata; Mammalia; Primates; Hominidae. The record is from RNAcentral.